RNAcentral lists this ribosomal RNA (505 nucleotides) under uncultured bacterium. Its description in RNAcentral is "partial 16S ribosomal RNA". It matches the Rfam family "Bacterial small subunit ribosomal RNA", at positions 30 to 523 of the family's 1533-position model. The record is from RNAcentral.
AUUGAACGCUGGCGGCACGCCUAACACAUGCAAGUCGAGCGGCAGCGGGAUUAGUAGCAAUACUAAUUGCCGGCGAGCGGCGGACGGGUGAGUAACGCGUAGGAACUUGCCUUUAAGAGGGGGAUAACCAGAGGAAACUUUGGCUAAUCCCGCAUAAACUCGAGAGAGAAAAGCUGCCCGCAAGGGUGGCGCUUAAAGAGAGGCCUGCGUCCGAUUAGCUAGUUGGUGAGGUAAAGGCUUACCAAGGCGAUGACCGGUAACUGGUCUGAGAGGACGACCAGUCACACUGGGACUGAGACACGGCCCAGACUCCUACGGGAGGCAGCAGUGGGGAAUAUUGGACAAUGGGGGCAACCCUGAUCCAGCAAUGCCGCGUGAGUGAUGAAGGAAUUCGUUCCGUAAAGCUCUUUUGUUUAUGACGAACGUGCGAGUUGUGAAUAAUGACUUGUAAUGACGGUAGUAAACGAAUAAGCCACGGGUAACUACGUGCCAGCCGCCGCCGUAA